This is a non-coding RNA of Lepisosteus oculatus (spotted gar), 118 nucleotides long. The record is from Rfam. NCBI's taxonomy places the organism in Eukaryota, Metazoa, Chordata, Actinopteri, Semionotiformes, Lepisosteidae.
ACCAGCAGCUGUAUCACACUGCAACUCCCAGCUGGCCACCUACUGAAGCUCAGCAGGCGAGAGCCUGGUCAGUACCUGGAUGGGAGAGCUCCUGUGAAAGCUAAGGUUGCUGCUGGAA